GGGUGAACUCGUCAAAGGUUCUCAUCCGCUAGCACCCCCUCCUUGCAGCAGCGGCAGCAGCAGCAGCACCAAAGAGCGGGCGCGCGGGUGAGCCACACACGCACACAUAUAUAUAAAGAUAAGCACCUCACCUGAGCUGCUGCUGUACCGGUGUACGGGUACGUGUAUGCCUGCGCCACUGUAGUGAGUGUGUGCCGUCACCGUUCUUGCCGCGCCCUCUUCAUACCUCCAGCGCAAAGGCCAAAGUUGCAGCCGGUGCAGCACACACACACACACGCACGCACGCACGCACGCAUGUGCACAGGAGGGAGGCCAGCCUCCCCCCCCCCCACCCUCUGUCGCCCUUUCUUUCCAUAAAUCUAUAUACAUCCCCACAUCUGUGUCUACCUGCACCACUGCCGCACACACCCCCUCUUGCCCUUCGCGUGUAGCGUGCUAACCUUUCCUUCAUAUAAUAGAGUGAUAGACGCUUCACUGCACGCUGCACGCACGUACGCACGCGCGCACACGCACGCUGCCUCCCGUGCACGCCUACACUCAUAGACAUCCUCAACGCGCUGCGCCACAUCGCACGGCGGGUUUGGAGACGGCGCGAGCGCGCGCGUUACGAAGUGACAACCCAUAGAAGACGCACCACGGCAAGACAAAAAGCGGCCAUUCGUCGAGACGGCGAGGGAGAGGGAGAAGGACACGCACACGCGCACGCGUCACCAGCCACCACCACCGCUGCUGCGCCGACCACCACUAGCCUAUUUCUACGCGUUUGAGUGUGCGUGUGUGUGAUUUGUUUUCCUGCUUUCCUCAGCGGCUUCCACGCACGGCAGAGACGCACAGGUGUGCGAGCAUCGCAUCUCCUCCACCUUCGCGUGCGGGUGCAUGCGUCCUGUGCUGGCUCUGCUUUCACAUCCACCCACGCUGCACCCCCGUUACUGGCAGAUGCUUCGACGACGAAUCGCUACUUCCUUCUUCGUUGGCGUCGCGGGCGCACAUCCGUGCAAAAACGGCAACAGUCACUCGAAUUCGGCACGAUGUCUGUCCUGCUCCACCUCGCUGCGCGCUGGCGGCGUGCUCGGUGCCAGGGCACCCCUCCUCUACGUGUAUAAGCCACCGGGCAGCAGUGAGCCGAGCCGACUGCCGUGGUAUCAGCACGUGUCCUCGGCACCGUCGGGUAGUACAGAGACGUCGGCAACGACCGCGGCGGCGGCGUCGGCUAUCGGCUCCUCAAGCGUUACCGCAAUGCGAUCCGCUUCGCAGAGCCCCGCCUCGCCGCUGCACUCGCAGAACAUUUCCGCUAUCUUGCAGGCGGCCGACGCGGCAGCAACAGCAGCGGCAGCGUCAGUCUCACAACGGGCAUCCACCAGCCCCGUAUUGACUAGUAGCAAGAGCGGUGUCGGCAACGUUCCCUCGCCAGCAGCAGCAACGCCAUCGGCCGCAACGACUGGGUCUAGCGCCACCGCUCCUGCGUUCCUGUCAUCAUCGAUAGCCGCGGCGACGCAGGGAGCGUUCGGCGCAGCAGCAGCAGCAGCAGCAGCAGCAGCAGCAGCGGCCGCCGCCUCCGCUUCAGCGGCGCUGCACCGCCAGGACGGCGCGCUCCGCCCCACCCCCACUCGCCGAAUGGCUGCAGUCAGUGGGCCCACCCUCGAUGCACGCGUCGAGGACAUCGUCAAGGUGGAGGAGACGCUUGCAUCGGAGCUGACGUUGCCGAAGGUGGUGCAGCUUCUGAUCGACCCUCAAGCCGAGGGCGUCGAGCGCAUUACGAUGAGUGAGUUUGUGGCAAUGCAACCGAAGCGGCAGCUGCUCGCGCUGGGCGGCAGGAAGGAGUGGCAGCAGUGGAUGGAGCAGAGCACGUACUACCAGCAGGCGGCCCGGCUGGCGGCUGAGUCGCCAGCGCAGGAUUUGGCGGCUUUGCAGCAAGCCGGUAUUCAGUCCCUACAGCAGUGGCUCGAGCACCCGCAGCUUGUGAAGGUGUCGGCCCGCACCCGCAGUGCCCUCGACACGGCCGUCGCGCAGAGCGUUGAGGCGUACAUGGCAGAGGUGGUCAAGGUCGUGAACACCAGCAACCAGGUAGAGGACAUCCUAUCGCACUGGGUGUCAGAUGUGAUGGGAAAGUUCGUGCUAGACUCGUUACAGAUUCCAAUCGACCGGGCCUCGCAGGCGAUGUGGGCGAAGCGGAAGGAGUGGAUGCCAGCUGACGUCGUGCGCAACCGUGGUGGCGUCCCUCCCCCCAUGGCCUCUGCAUCCUCGGUCUUGUCGCCUUCCUCCGCCGCAGUUUUCGGAAACGACGUUACGGGACGUUCCCCUCUCCAGAGCGUCGAGUCGCGCAUGCUCGGCGAGAUGCUGAGCGGUUGUGGUGGCGGCGUCGCGGCGCCUGUAUCCGUCGCGAACGCGUCGCAGCUGCAGCAGCAGCAGUCGACGCUCCGGCCGGGUGAGGCGUGCACGUUGGAUCACUACCUGCGGUUUGUGCAGAAGGUGAUCUCUAGCGUACGGCAGGACUACGUGGCGAACCAUGCGGCGAUGGGCGCCGCCCCAGGCGGCCGGGGCGACGACCAGGCGGAGCGCGAAAUCACCGAGCGCUCGUACGGCGUCAUCGCUGCCGCCUUCACUCAGCUGCUCGAGCAAGCCGUGGUGCACCAGCUGCCGCCAGAGCUGCAGGCCUUGCAGCAGAACGGCUACCUCGCGCUGGACCGCGUCCCAGGGCUCCUGAAGCGAGCCGGUAGCUUGCUGGAGCUGCGCUCUGUGCCAGUGCGCUAUUUCGUGUUUCACAGCUCCGUCGACGAGGCGGCCGCAGUGGCGGCAACGACCUCGCACGGGCGUUCGUCGCCCGCGGACGCGUCGUUGAGCGGCGGUGCCGUGAGUGGGCUGGCUGUGCAGGCACCGCCGCACUACGCCUCCGGCACCUUUCUUACUGGGUCGAAUCGAUUAGACGUGACGCUGGGUGAGUGGUCGGGGCAGCCGGACCCGCCGUCGUCAACAGCACGCGAGAGCGGCGGCAUCGUCGACGACGCCACGGAGCAGGAAUACCUCUCGAUGCUGCAUCGGCUGCGCCGCCGCGUCGAGACGCUGGCAGUCACCUCUCUUUACGAGGUCAUCGCGCAGCCAGAGCGGUUCGGCGGCAACGGCUUCAGCGCCGCGGAGGCCAUCGGCCUAGACCAACUUUUCGGCCCUGUGAAGCUGCUCGAGGACCGACUCACAACGCUGCUCCACUAUCCACCUGCCGCCGCCGACAAGCCAAUCCACUUCAUCGAGGCCGGUCCGCUCUCGGGGAAGACGGCGUUGCUGGAGCAGCUCGCCGAGCGCACAACGCGGCCGGGCGACAAAGUAGUGCUGGUGCGCUACGGCGGCUCGGCAACGCCGUACCUGCCGGACCUGGAUGAUCACCCAGUCGCCUUCGCUGCCCGCUUCUGGUUCCGCGUGGCGCUCGCGUCGUGCCCUUACCUGAUCCGCACAGAGGAACUCUACUCUCGUGCGCCGCGUAGCGUGUACUGGUGGGGGCAUGAAAACAACUGGUCCUGGGAGCGGUACCAGAGCCUUCUGCAGUCGGCGCGCAACGCGGGCACCGGCCACCGCCAGUAUCAGCAGCAGCAGCAGUGCGGUGCAUCGUCAGCAACCGUGGCCGCUCCGGCGCAGCUCGCCUCGAUCCUCGUGGAUGAUGUGGAUCGGGCUCUGAGCGCGAUGCAGGUGAAGUGGGGCAACGCAGCGACCCUGUCGUCGGUCAUGACAACUAGCGCGGCAGGUGGUAGCGGUGGCAUGCGCGGCGGUGCCCUCGGGCAUCUCGCCCACUCUUCUAGCGCGGCGGCGGCGUCGCGCAAGGCAUGCAGCGGUGCAGGCGUCGACGAGGACGCUGCCGAUGGCACAGGUGAAGAUGAUGCCGACGACGGCGAUGACGCGGAAGCGCCGGCCCGGGCGACAGCAGCGGCGGCGCAUUCUCCCUCGCUGGAGCAGCAGCGCCAGCAGGUGAUGUCGCUCUGGCUCUCCACUGGCAAGUCCGUUGAGGAGCACCUAUACUCCUGCUUCACUCAGAUAUCCGCGGCGGUGGGGCAGGUGAACUUCGUCUUUGCCGGCACGGCAGCCACGCCGCUGCUGCUGGCCUACUGCCCGGCCCCGUGCAGGCGCUACUACCUGCCGCUCUCCGGCGGUGUUGGACUGCAGUCUCGCCUGCGUGUGCUUCCGCUGCUGUCGACGCUGCACGCGCUGCACUUGACGCACCGCCUCGACAUGCCUGGCCUGCUGUACGAGGUGCUCAAGAACGCGCCAGCGCUGGCCGGCAAGGCGCUCGAGCUUUUCUGGUCCCACCGCGUUUCGCUUAUGGACUUGCGUACAGGACUGCCGCGGCUCACGAUGGGCAACGGCUCGGCGCACCCGCAGUUGCUGCACAGCUACGUGCCACGUGAGCUGUUCGCUGAGCUGCCGGUCUACAUAACGCUUCUUCAGGACCCACGCCGCACCCGCCGUCGUCUCGUCGAGCUGCUGCAGCGCCAACUCAGCAGCCCGACCGGAUACCUCAGCACCGAGCUCGACACAACGCCGCAGGACGUCAAGGAUGGUUUGGUGCUCCCACACAACCACACAAGUAGCCAAGUACACCCCUUCGCCCUCUUUGCCAUCUUCUCCAGGCAGGACGCGAUUGAUGAGCGGGUUUUCAACAGCGAGGGGCAGCUGCUGGAGGGCAGUGAGCUGCAGCGCGACGGCGACGCCGAGGACGAGGAUGGUGUGAAGGAUGGGGGCGACGGCGGCGGCGCGAACGCGAAGCCGAAGGCGGCUGAAGCUUCGGCUGCAGCAGCCCGGCUGCGUAGCAGCACCGGUGUCGGCAGCAACGAGCGCAAGGUCGUGCGGGCUUGGGCAGAGGUUUGGGCCGAGUACCGCAGUGUUGUUUCCGCGCUCUCUACGACGCCGGCCCGUAAGCGCGACGCCAUGCGCAUUCUGCUACACGGAGCGUUGCUGCUGCGGUCGGCUGCCGUGGCGGGGGCGCAGCUGGAACUGAACCUGAAGGUGCCGUCCUUCGGCUUCCCUCUCCUGGCGUCUGAGACGCGGGUGCGCGGCAGCAGCGUCCACCACCUGCGCGGGACGGCCGCUGCGGCGGGCGAGUCGCUCAUCCGAAGUGCCACACCGGAGACGGUGCGCCGCGCUGUGUCGGCCUACAAGUUGUUUUUCUCCAACGCCGCGCCGAGCCACUUCCCGUUUCGGCCCAUGGUUGGGCUCAACGGCGGCUGCGACGUUGUGUUUGUGUGCGGGUCGACCCUGGCAUUGUACAAUAUAGUGGCAACCACCGCGCAGCUCCGGCACAUGGUCGCCCGCUUCGCCGAGGCCCUGUUAGGAGUGCUGCACGUCUUGAUGCGCCAGGUGCUGCCGGCGGACAAGGUGCGCGCAGUGCAGUAUGUGUCCGUGGUGUCGCUGGACGAGGCACAGCCUGGGGUGGAGGCGAGUCUGAUUGGAAACGGCAGCGGUGGCGGCCACGCCAACGUCUACGCGCGCCGGCGCGGCUCUGUCGUGGCGGGCGGCGUCAGCGUGGAUGUCUUCAACCCGGUCGCGGCGCCCACCGUACCCUACUGCCUCGACUACGAUGCCGUGUUCGAGGACCACGUGAUAGACCGGCUGCGCGAGCUGCAGCAGUCGCUCGGCAUCACCAAGGACUUCCGCACCCUCAGCGAACUGAUAGACGAGAUUGAGCACACGCACCGGGUGCGGGUACUGCAAAACGUUGUGUCCACACCAGAGGAGGUGGAGUCGCUCUUCUCGCCUACGCUGCUGCAGCUCGUGCCGGACUCGACGGUGCUGCCUGCGUACACGUCGGCGGUAGUGUCGGCUACGGACCUCAUGGUGCAGGCGAUGAGUCGUGGCGCAGGCGGGCGGAAAGCCUCGGGCGUUGCCGCAGACGUGGACGACGACGACGAUGCCGACUACGUGAACAUUGGUGAGGAAGAUAUAGUGCCUGGUGCAGAACUGGAUGACCUGGCCAGCGAGGCGCGCCUCUUGCGGGACGCCGUUGCGGGAAAGUCCACUGCUGGCGGCAUCAGUCCCUCUGAGGACCUGAAUGCCGCCGACGGCGACUACGUGCACGAGUCUGCCGCGCUGCUCGAGGCGAUGAUGAACGAUGAGCUGGACUCGAUGACGAACUGGACGGCGCAGCUGCAUCGGCAGCGUGAGGAGACAGCGCGCGACCUGCAGCGCGAUUUGGUGAUGGAGGAUCGCAUCAACUACAAUGCACCACCGCCGUCCAUCGGCGCUUCGGCGGCUGGCGCAGCCGUCACAGGGGUGGCACCAUCGAAGCCGUCUCGAGCGCCUGGCCAGACCACUGCCGAAGACGCAGAGGUCGACGCGCUUGCCUGGCUGCAUGACGUGAUCACGCCAGAGAGCCUGAUUGCCGGGCUGAAGGGCUCAAACCCCGGCGCCCAAGCUUCUGCCCCGUCCUCCUCAUCCACUGCAACGGCGGCGCCGGGGGCGGCGGCCUCCCCGCAAGGUCCCGCAAGUCCGAUGGCUGGCAUACCCCCAGCUGCAGCUGGCGGCGGUCUCGCAAGCCACGCGUCUUUCGCUGGGUCGAUAGCAAGCGUGACGGGCCCGUGGACGCCGAACCCGAUCCCGCCGCCGGUGGCGGCGCCUGACGGCGCCGGUGGCAGAUGGUCCUCCGUGGCAGCCGGCACACCAACGGCCACCACACAGGAAGGUGAGCGAGGCGCAGGUGCGGCGCCUGCCGGCGGCACCGCGGCCACGGGCGAGAGCGGUGAUGGAGAGGACGAUAGCGGCGAGGAGGACGAGGACGAGGAAGAGCUGGAUGUGGUGAAGCCGCGCGGAGCUGAGGGCAGCCGACGCAAGGGCGGCAGCAAAGAGGGUAGCAAGAUGGCCACCGUCGCGUCCCGGCGGCCGCGUCGCGAGAGCCACAGCUCUAGUGGAAAGCGGUCCUCCACUGCCAGCAGGCAGAAGCGGUCGGCGAGCACGUCCAGGAGUGGUGACCGUGCAACCGCCAGAUCGGCGCCUCAGUCGACCUCGCAGACCAAACGGCGGAAGUCGUCGACGUUCGCAGCCGCGUCGGCGUCGUCCAAGAAGGGCAAAGCAGCCCCCUCCUACAGCAGCAGCAGCAGAAAGAAGUCGAGCAGCUCAAGGCGUCGGUAGCCUAUGGUGGCGCGCGUGCGUGUGUGGGAGGGAGGGAAGGAGAGGGAGGGUGCAUGAGUAGGUGUCCCACGCUUGCCCCCCCCCACCCCGGUCCCCAUUAGACGCGGAUGAUGGUGGUGGUGAGGCGGAGGAGGAGGAGGCGCUCAGAAGGCGGAGGCGGACAGCCGCGUAUGUGUGUGGGGGAGAGAGUCUGCUAUGACGACGUGCGUUGAAUGGCGCUUUUCCGUGUCCCCCUUCUUGCCCUCCAACGGUCUGCGCCUGCGAGGGCUGAUGUGGCUCUCCCAUCAUGGCGGGUGUUGCUAUUAUAUAUCUGUGUGUGUGGUAUAUAUAUAUAUAUAUACGUGUAUGUGUAUGUGGGUGUAGUUGAUUCAUAGACUUCUCAGAUGCGUAUGUAUGUGUGUGUGUGGCACGUGUUGUGGAGUCGCUGUCUCUCUCUCUCUUACUGAACGUGUACUGCAUAGAGGAUGGUUGGAGGAUGCUGUUGUUGUGUAGGAAGAAUGCUGGCAUCUGGGGCCCAUAUCAAGGCACGCCAGCGCAUGCACAUGCGCAGGGAGGUCAUAUAUAUACAUACAUAUAUAUAUAUAUAUAUGUGCCUAUGCACGCAUGUGUCGUGGUGUCUCAUGCCGAUGUGGUGCCUCCUCUCUCUCUCUUCGUUUCUCAGCGCACAAGAGAAACUUAACCGACGGACCAUCGCAGGCGACCAAAGGAAAAU
Molecule: unclassified non-coding RNA, 7819 nt
Filed under: Leishmania donovani
Lineage: Eukaryota; Euglenozoa; Kinetoplastea; Trypanosomatida; Trypanosomatidae
Description: gene:LdHU3.10.1220(CDS-product:hypothetical_prote in_conserved)
Source: RNAcentral